AGCUGCGGCUAACUACGUGCCAGCAGCCGCGGUAAUACGUAGGGAGCAAGCGUUGUUCGGAAUUACUGGGCGUAAAGGGUGCGUAGGCGGUUUUUUAAGUCUGGUGUGAAAUCUCCCGGCUCAACUGGGAGGGUGCGCCGAAUACUGUAAGGCUAGAGUGUGGGAGAGGAAAGUGGAAUUCCUGGUGUAGCGGUGAAAUGCGUAGAUAUCAGGAGGAACACCUGUGGUGUAAACGGCUUUCUGGACCAUUACUGACGCUGAGGCACGAAAGCGUGGGUAGCAAACAGGAUUAGAUACCCUGGUAGUCCACGCCCUAAACGAUGCAUAUUUGGUGUGGGCCAUUCAUUUGGUUCGUGCCGGAGCUAACGCGUUAAAUAUGCCGCCUGGGGAGUACAGU
This 397-nucleotide ribosomal RNA is filed under the name uncultured Acidobacteriota bacterium. RNAcentral describes it as "bacterial SSU rRNA". It matches the Rfam family "Bacterial small subunit ribosomal RNA", at positions 488 to 886 of the family's 1533-position model. The record is from RNAcentral. Lineage: Bacteria; Pseudomonadati; Acidobacteriota.